This 400-nucleotide ribosomal RNA is filed under the name uncultured bacterium. RNAcentral's name for it is "bacterial SSU rRNA". It matches the Rfam family "Bacterial small subunit ribosomal RNA", at positions 355 to 746 of the family's 1533-position model. The record is from RNAcentral.
UGGGGAAUAUUGGACAAUGGGGGAAACCCUGAUCCAGCCAUGCCGCGUGUGUGAAGAAGGCCUUUUGGUUGUAAAGCACUUUAAGCAGUGAAGAAGACUCUUCGGUUAAUACCCGGAGACGAUGACAUUAGCUGCAGAAUAAGCACCGGCUAACUCUGUGCCAGCAGCCGCGGUAAUACAGAGGGUGCAAGCGUUAAUCGGAAUUACUGGGCGUAAAGCGAGCGUAGGUGGCUUGAUAAGUCAGAUGUGAAAUCCCCGGGCUUAACCUGGGAACUGCAUCUGAUACUGUCAGGCUAGAGUAGGUGAGAGGAAGGUAGAAUUCCAGGUGUAGCGGUGAAAUGCGUAGAGAUCGUGGAGGAAUACCGAUGGCGAAGGCAGCCUUCUGGCAUCAUACUGACAC